Molecule: ribosomal RNA, 312 nt
Filed under: Triticum aestivum (bread wheat)
Lineage: Eukaryota; Viridiplantae; Streptophyta; Magnoliopsida; Poales; Poaceae
Description: partial small subunit ribosomal RNA
Source: RNAcentral
AUGGCUGGGAGGCACACCAUUAUUCUGAUGCAACCAUCCCAAAACAGGAGCUCCAGGACGUUCAUGGAUUAUAAUUCAAUUAACCAUGCAUUGGAUGGAAUCUGUGGUCUCUAUGAAAGGAAAAUCAGGGAUAUCAACCCAAUGAUCCCGAACAUAACCUAUGACAUCACCGACCUGUACAACUUCAUCGACGGCCUAGCUGACAUCAGUGCGCUAGUCUAUGAUCACGAAAUCCAUGCGUUUCUGCCAUAUGACCGGCAGUGGAUAAAGCAGAAGCUGUUUCAGCACCUUAAGAAGCUGGCUCAAAGAUAG